UACGAAGGGUGCAAGCGUUACUCAGAAUUACUGGGCGUAAAGCGUGCGUAGGUGGUUCGUUAAGUCUGAUGUGAAAGCCCUGGGCUCAACCUGGGAAUUGCAUUGGAUACUGGCGGGCUAGAGUGCGGUAGAGGAUGGCGGAAUUCCCGGUGUAGCAGUGAAAUGCGUAGAGAUCGGGAGGAACAUCUGUGGCGAAGGCGGCCAUCUGGACCAGCACUGACACUGAGGUGCGAAAGCGUGGGGAGCAAACAGG
Molecule: ribosomal RNA, 253 nt
Filed under: uncultured bacterium
Lineage: Bacteria
Description: partial 16S ribosomal RNA
Rfam family: Bacterial small subunit ribosomal RNA
Source: RNAcentral